AUGACUUAUCUGCAAAGGUGUAUGGGGGUCCCUAUUAAAAAGGGCCUUGAGGUAUUCUUCUUCACUCUCUUUUGAAGUCUGCACAGGUUAUCUAGGGUUGGUGCUAACUUCCUGUGUGGAGAGAGGAAGUGAAGGGAACUCCAGAGAAACUCUGUAGAGGUAGGAACAGCUGGCCAGCAGAGGCAGCAAUUGAGAACAGCCAGCUGAGAGGUUUUUUCCAUCAGAACAGAUUUAGGAAGUUAAGAUUUCUCAACUGCAGAUCUUCUAAAAAGCACAUCAAACUGGUAUUAUUUGUCAAUCUCAUCCACUUACCAGGUAAUCCAGCUGCAGGGAGAGAAGCGCAGAGUGCCUCGGUUGGUCUUCGAAUG
This 368-nucleotide long non-coding RNA is filed under the name Anser brachyrhynchus (Pink-footed goose). Its description in RNAcentral is "lncRNA (ENSABRG00000011888.1)". Lineage: Eukaryota; Metazoa; Chordata; Aves; Anseriformes; Anatidae. The record is from RNAcentral.